RNAcentral lists this ribosomal RNA (253 nucleotides) under uncultured bacterium. RNAcentral describes it as "partial 16S ribosomal RNA". It matches the Rfam family "Bacterial small subunit ribosomal RNA", at positions 524 to 776 of the family's 1533-position model. The record is from RNAcentral.
UACGGAGGGUGCAAGCGUUAUCCGGAUUCACUGGGUUUAAAGGGUGCGUAGGUGGGAAUGUAAGUCAGUGGUGAAAUCUCCGUGCUUAACAUGGAAACUGCCAUUGAUACUAUGUUUCUUGAAUUUUCUGGAGGUCAGCGGAAUAUGUCAUGUAGCGGUGAAAUGCUUAGAGAUGACCCGGAACACCAAUUGCGAAGGCAGCUCACUGGGCAAUUAUUGACGCUGAGGCACGAAAGCGUGGGGAUCAAACAGG